RNAcentral lists this ribosomal RNA (433 nucleotides) under uncultured Anaerovorax sp. RNAcentral's name for it is "partial 16S ribosomal RNA". It matches the Rfam family "Bacterial small subunit ribosomal RNA", at positions 341 to 792 of the family's 1533-position model. Lineage: Bacteria; Bacillati; Bacillota; Clostridia; Peptostreptococcales; Anaerovoracaceae. The record is from RNAcentral.
ACGGGAGGCAGCAGUGGGGAAUAUUGCACAAUGGGGGAAACUCUGAUGCAGCAACGCCGCGUGAAGGAAGAAGGUCUUCGGAUUGUAAACUUCUGUCCUAGGGGAAGAUAAUGACGGUACCCUUGGAGGAAGCCCCGGCUAACUACGUGCCAGCAGCCGCGGUAAUACGUAGGGGGCAAGCGUUAUCCGGAAUUAUUGGGCGUAAAGAGUGCGUAGGUGGUUACCUAAGCAGGGGGUGAAAGGCACUGGCUUAACCAAUGUCAGCCCCCUGAACUGGGCUACUUGAGUGCAGGAGAGGAAAGUGGAAUUCCUAGUGUAGCGGUGAAAUGCGUAGAUAUUAGGAGGAACACCAGUGGCGAAGGCGACUUUCUGGACUGUUACUGACACUGAGGCACGAAAGUGUGGGGAGCAAACAGGAUUAGAUACCCGGGUA